UAGGGAAUCUUCCACAAUGGACGCAGGUCUGAUGGAGCAACGCCGCGUGAGUGAAGAAGGCUUUCGGGUCGUAAAACUCUGUUGUUGGAGAAGAAUGGUCGGCAGAGUAACUGUUGUCGGCGUGACGGUAUCCAACCAGAAAGCCACGGCUAACUACGUGCCAGCAGCCGCGGUAAUACGUAGGUGGCAAGCGUUGUCCGGAUUUAUUGGGCGUAAAGCGAGCGCAGGCGGUUUUUUAGGUCUGAUGUGAAAGCCUUCGGCUUAACCGGAGAAGUGCAUCGGAAACCGGGAGACUUGAGUGCAGAAGAGGACAGUGGAACUCCAUGUGUAGCGGUGAAAUGCGUAGAUAUAUGGAAGAACACCAGUGGCGAAGGCGGCUGUCUGGUCUGUAACUGACGCUGAGGCUCGAAAGCAUGGGUAGCGAACAGGAUUAGAUACCCUGGUAGUCCAUGCCGUAAACGAUGAGUGCUAAGUGUUGGAGGGUUUUCCGCCCUUCAGUGCUGCAGCUAACGCAUUAAGCACUCCGCCUGGGGGAGUACGACCGCAAGGUUGAAAC
This 556-nucleotide ribosomal RNA is filed under the name uncultured bacterium. RNAcentral's name for it is "partial 16S ribosomal RNA". It matches the Rfam family "Bacterial small subunit ribosomal RNA", at positions 355 to 900 of the family's 1533-position model. The record is from RNAcentral.